This 69-nucleotide transfer RNA is filed under the name Rattus norvegicus (Norway rat). It matches the Rfam family "tRNA". From Rfam's summary of the family: Transfer RNA (tRNA) molecules are approximately 80 nucleotides in length. Lineage: Eukaryota; Metazoa; Chordata; Mammalia; Rodentia; Muridae. The record is from Rfam by way of RNAcentral.
GGGGAUUUAGCUCAGUGGUAGAGCACUUGCCUAGCAAGCACAAGGCCCUGGGUUCGGUCCCCAGUUCCA